UGGGGAAUUUUGCACAAUGGGGGAAACCCUGAUGCAGCGACGCCGCGUGAUUUAGAAGGCCUUCGGGUUGUAAAAAUCUUUUCUAUGGGAAGAAAAUGACAGUACCAUAGGAAUAAGGACCGGCUAAUUACGUGCCAGCAGCCGCGGUAAUACGUAAGGUCCGAGCGUUGUCCGGAAUCAUUGGGCGUAAAGGGUACGUAGGCGGGUAAGCAAGUUAGAAGUGAAAUCCUAUAGCUCAACUAUAGUAAGCUUUUAAAACUGCUCAUCUUGAGGUAUGGAAGGGAAAGUGGAAUUCCUAGUGUAGCGGAGAAAUGCGCAGAUAUUAGGAGGAAUACCGGUGGCGAAGGCGACUUUCUGGCCAUAACCUAACGCUGAGGUACGAAAGCGUGGGUAGCAAACAGG
RNAcentral lists this ribosomal RNA (402 nucleotides) under bacterium. RNAcentral's name for it is "partial 16S ribosomal RNA". It matches the Rfam family "Bacterial small subunit ribosomal RNA", at positions 355 to 776 of the family's 1533-position model. The record is from RNAcentral.